UGAACGCUAGCUACAGGCUUAACACAUGCAAGUCGAGGGGCAGCAUGGUCUUAGCUUGCUAAGGCCGAUGGCGACCGGCGCACGGGUGAGUAACACGUAUCCAACCUGCCGUCUACUCUUGGACAGCCUUCUGAAAGGAAGAUUAAUACAAGAUGGCAUCAUGAGUCCGCAUGUUCACAUGAUUAAAGGUAUUCCGGUAGACGAUGGGGAUGCGUUCCAUUAGAUAGUAGGCGGGGUAACGGCCCACCUAGUCUUCGAUGGAUAGGGGUUCUGAGAGGAAGGUCCCCCACAUUGGAACUGAGACACGGUCCAAACUCCUACGGGAGGCAGCAGUGAGGAAUAUUGGUCAAUGGGCGAGAGCCUGAACCAGCCAAGUAGCGUGAAGGAUGACUGCCCUAUGGGUUGUAAACUUCUUUUAUAAAGGAAUAAAGUCGGGUAUGCAUACCCGUUUGCAUGUACUUUAUGAAUAAGGAUCGGCUAACUCCGUGCCAGCAGCCGCGGUAAUACGGAGGAUCCGAGCGUUAUCCGGAUUUAUUGGGUUUAAAGGGAGCGUAGAUGGAUGUUUAAGUCAGUUGUGAAAGUUUGCGGCUCAACCGUAAAAUUGCAGUUGAUACUGGAUAUCUUGAGUGCAGUUGAGGCAGGCGGAAUUCGUGGUGUAGCGGUGAAAUGCUUAGAUAUCACGAAGAACUCCGAUUGCGAAGGGCAGCCUGCUAAGCUGCAACUGACAUUGAGGCUCGAAAGUGUGGGUAUCAAACAGGAUUAGAUACCCUGGUAGUCCACACGGUAAACGAUGAAUACUCGCUGUUUGCGAUAUACGGCAAGCGGCCAAGCGAAAGCGUUAAGUAUUCCACCUGGGGAGUACGCCGGCAACGGUGAAACUCAAAGGAAUUGACGGGGGCCCGCACAAGCGGAGGAACAUGUGGUUUAAUUCGAUGAUACGCGAGGAACCUUACCCGGGCUUAAAUUGCAGAUGAAUUACGGUGAAAGCCGUAAGCCGCAAGGCAUCUGUGAAGGUGCUGCAUGGUUGUCGUCAGCUCGUGCCGUGAGGUGUCGGCUUAAGUGCCAUAACGAGCGCAACCCUUGUUGUCAGUUACUAACAGGUUCCGCUGAGGACUCUGACAAGACUGCCAUCGUAAGAUGUGAGGAAGGUGGGGAUGACGUCAAAUCAGCACGGCCCUUACGUCCGGGGCUACACACGUGUUACAAUGGGGGGUACAGAGGGCCGCUACCACGCGAGUGGAUGCCGAUCCCCAAAACCUCUCUCAGUUCGGACUGGAGUCUGCAACCCGACUCCACGAAGCUGGAUUCGCUAGUAAUCGCGCAUCAGCCACGGCGCGGUGAAUACGUUCCCGGGCCUUGUACACACCGCCCGUCAAGCCAUGGGAGCCGGGGGUACCUGAAGUGCGUAACCGCGAGGAGCGCCCUAGGGUAAAACUGGUGACUGGGG
This 1447-nucleotide ribosomal RNA is filed under the name uncultured organism. Its description in RNAcentral is "SSU rRNA". It matches the Rfam family "Bacterial small subunit ribosomal RNA". The record is from RNAcentral.